RNAcentral lists this ribosomal RNA (253 nucleotides) under uncultured bacterium. Its description in RNAcentral is "partial 16S ribosomal RNA". It matches the Rfam family "Bacterial small subunit ribosomal RNA", at positions 524 to 776 of the family's 1533-position model. The record is from RNAcentral.
UACGAAGGGGGCUAGCGUUGUUCGGAAUCACUGGGCGUAAAGCGCGCGUAGGCGGACCGUUAAGUCGGAGGUGAAAUCCUGGGGCUCAACCCCAGAACUGCCUUCGAUACUGGCGGUCUCGAGUCCGGGAGAGGUGAGUGGAACUGCCAGUGUAGAGGUGAAAUUCGUAGAUAUUGGCAAGAACACCAGUGGCGAAGGCGGCUCACUGGCCCGGUACUGACGCUGAGGUGCGAAAGCGUGGGGAGCAAACAGG